GGGGAAUUGUUCACAAUGGGCGCAAGCCUGAUGACGCAACGCCGCGUGGAGGACGAAGAUUUUCGGAUCGUAAACUCCUUUCGAUCGGGAAGAACAGCUUUCGGGUGAAUAGUCCGAGAGUCUGACGGUACCGAGAGAAGAAGCCCCGGCUAACUCUGUGCCAGCAGCCGCGGUAAUACAGAGGUGGCAAGCGUUGUUCGGAAUUACUGGGCGUAAAGGGCGCGUAGGCGGUUCGAUAAGUCCCGUGUGAAAUCCCUCGGCUCAACUGAGGAAUGGCACGGGAAACUGACGGGCUUGAGUUCGGGAGAGGGAAGCGGAAUUCCGGGUGUAGCGGUGAAAUGCGUAGAUAUCCGGAGGAACACCGGUGGCGAAGGCGGCUUCCUGGACCGACACUGACGCUGAGGCGCGAAAGCUAGGGGAGCAAA
RNAcentral lists this ribosomal RNA (425 nucleotides) under uncultured bacterium. Its description in RNAcentral is "bacterial SSU rRNA". It matches the Rfam family "Bacterial small subunit ribosomal RNA", at positions 356 to 772 of the family's 1533-position model. The record is from RNAcentral.